Molecule: long non-coding RNA, 1833 nt
Organism: Pectinophora gossypiella (pink bollworm)
Lineage: Eukaryota; Metazoa; Arthropoda; Insecta; Lepidoptera; Gelechiidae
Exons: 3
Source: RefSeq, a predicted model, not a curated record
UUCUAAAUUAUUAUAUUAAAAUUAUCUGCAACAUUUAUUUUUGAUAUAUUAUAAUUAUAUUGUUUAAAUUUUGGGAUCAAACAAGUCGAUCGAUUGUUGUCGUUGAUUCGGCGAAUUUAUGGUUUGGUAGAUUUUUUCUAGUUUGGCAACUUUGUUCGUGGUUCUUGUGUCAGACUGACAGCUGGCUGAGCUGAGAGACAGGUUAUGGAAAGUGGGGACGUCGCGAGAGCGCCGGAGACUCCACUGCCAUAACAAUAAUGUGGGCAAAUUAAAAGCCACGAUUUAUCGGCGACAUCAAGAGCCGAUGUCUCGAUUUAAAUAAACAACUUAACCGAGAUGGUGAGUCCUCGUAAUUCUUCGUGCAUAUUUUUGCACCAACUUUGUGAUAACCUCGAGGUCCUUGUUUUCAGCAACAUCACUGAAAUCCCAUCGCCUAAGGUCCAGUGGGUGGGUUUAGGUUUCAUCCGAGCGAUGCCCAACUAUCCCGGAUGAACCUAUGGGGUUUUGUUUGUUUUCUUUAAGUUUUUAACGUUUUAACGUUUUUGCAAGUUUUUAACGUCUAACGUUUUGCAAGUUCUAUGAAGAAGUUUAUGAUUGGAUCAGACUAUUUCAACAAAUUUUGUGAAUGAAGAUUGCUACUGUUUUCUUCUGCGUUUGCAAGUUAUUCCAAGCUUCAUUACGGCGGAGCUUGCCUUGGUUGUUUGCACGUCGAAGCUUUCCUUUGUGCGGCGCGCAUGUGGAUGUGCCGCGCCUCUCCUUUUGUCAACACUCCGGAUAAGGCCCGGUGAAGGACUGCGAGGUUGACCGGUGGACGUGCAGCCCGCCAGCUGCGUAACAGUUGGCCCGCUGCGCCGCCAUCGUCCAGCACGCCCUGGCCUGAGCCGGCCUCAACUCAUCACCUGUACGGUAUUCCGGAACGCCUCAGGUAGGCCUGAUAGUCGGAGGUCCUCGAGUAAGUGAGGUGCCCACAGGUGUACGGACAGUAGUUUUAAAUAUAGUGCUAGCACAUGGUAUGUUGCAGAGAGAUACUUUACCUAACGGCCCAUUUCUUUUUUAUGGAAUACCAUUAAAGCAAAGUGUUUCAGUGGCGCCCUUCUUGGUGAAAUUGUCGCUCUGUACAACCAUUUAGAAUAUAAGUGGUGUUGGCAUAAACUUUAAGAAUUUUUUUUUGUGAAAACAGUGUAUUUUUUAAUAAAAAAAGUGAUGGGAUUUUGUGUGAAUUGUUUGUGUUUUGUUUGCAUCUUAGGUUAAGUUGUGUUUUGUCUUAGCAUAAGUAAGGUUCUAGGCCUCAUACAGAGACCUAACUUAAAUAUUUUUUUUUGUACAAAAAGUUAAAACCCAAUUUUAUGACCAAACUGGUCUAGGGCUUAUUGUCAUUUUUAGUAUUACAUUUGUGUUUUCUUUUAACCUUUAUAGGUAUAAACUACAGGUUGAACCAAAUUUUUAAUGCUUACUAGCAAUUAUUUUUUACCAGGAUUGAGUACCUAUUUUUUUUAAGUAAAAUUUGGACAAAAAAUAUCUAUAUUAAAUGAGUUUUGUAAACAUAUAGAUUUAAUUAACAAAACAAUUUCACAUUUAAAAACAAUUAUAAUUUAUUACUUUCUAGUUUUUUUUUAACAUUUAUAACAGGACAUUAGUUAGAAAUAGAAAUUUAGUAACUUUGUUUCAUCAUCAUUAUAGACUGUUGUGUGCCGCUGAUGGCAAACAUUUUGCUUAUUUGUUUUUAUUGAAAUAAUUAUAGAACUGUCUUCCAAUAACAUCUUUAUUGAGUAAUAUUUAGUAGUCAACUUGCUUUACAAUCUUAAUUUAUUCACAACAUAUUACAACUUACAA